Long non-coding RNA from Passer domesticus (house sparrow), 769 nucleotides. RefSeq lists it as uncharacterized. The record is from RefSeq and is a predicted model, not a curated record. The transcript is spliced from 3 exons. NCBI's taxonomy places the organism in Eukaryota, Metazoa, Chordata, Aves, Passeriformes, Passeridae.
UGAAGUGUGGCUACCAUACAGUCUUGGUAAUGCCAUAUCUGGAAUUUCUGGAUAAGAUUCUUUAUAUUUUUACACACCUUUACUGAGCUGAAACACAGUAAGGGUUUACAGGGUUGGAAAGAAGAAAAAAGAAGAUAGGUUUUUUGUUAUUUAAUUGGUGAAUUACAUAAAAGUGGGAGGUUGGCGGUUCUAGAUACAUUCUGAGUCAGUUCACAAUGAUAUACGUAAUACCUCCAACAAACGCUGCUCAUGCCACAUCAGUAAGCCUUAAGAAAAAAAUAUUUUUAAUCCUCUGAAUAUUCAUACAUACAUCAUAUAUAAGUAAGCCAAUAUAAUCAUGCUUUGGCAACUCAUGCGUCUGUUGUUUGCUAAAAGUAGGCAACUAUAUUUACAGUAUCAAAAGGCGUUGCAAACACAGUUAAAUAUAUUGAUUCCAGACAUGCAGACGUCCUGCAACUUCAGAAUGCCAAUCUGCCAAAGAAAGAAAUAGUUCACCAUCUGCUAUUUUAUUUUCUGAAUUUGAUUUGCAUUGGUAUUUUUAUUAUUGCAUUAUUAAUGAAAUGCCUAUCCAGCACAUGAUUUUUAGAAGAUGAAGGCUGCUAUAGAUACUGAAGAAUUGGAGAUUUCAUGAGGAGUUAAAAUGGAACUAAAGGAUGGCAAGACAAAAUCCUCCAGUGUUCUUCAAAGAGAGAAGUUUGAAAGCAUGAACUGGGGAAGACACAAUGUUUCUGAAAGGUGAAUUCCAAGCUGGCUGAAAACAGAGAUCAAG